CAGUGAUCUCGUCGGCAUGCAGUUAUAUUUCGAAUCCAGGCGGAUCCUCGAGGGUUAACUAUCCAUUCGCUUCGGGGAAGGGGGGAAUCUCGACUCCAAUAUUGAGGGGGUGAAUCGAUAGCUAGUGGUGAGGUAAGCUCACAGGCGACGAUUCGUAGCUGUGAGAGACGACAGCCACACUGACUGAGACACGGUCCAGACUCUACGGAGCAGCAGUGGGAUUUGGACAUGGGGAAGCAUGAUCCAGCAUCCGCGUGUGUGAAGAAGACUUCGGGUGUAAAGCACUUUGCGGGAAAGAAACGGCGUCGACUAAUACUCGGCGUAACUGACGGUACCCGCAGAAUAAGCACCGGCUAACUACGUGCCAGCAGCCGCGGUAAUACGUAGGGUGCAAGCGUUAAUCGGAAUUACUGGGCGUAAAGCGUGCGCAGGCGGUUCGGAAAGAAAGAUGUGAAAUCCCAGGGCUCAACCUUGGAACUGCAUUUUUAACUACCGGACUAGAGUAUGUCAGAGGGGGGUGGAAUUCCACGUGUAGCAGUGAAAUGCGUAGAUAUGUGGAGGAACACCGAUGGCGAAGGCAGCCCCCUGGGAUAAUACUGACGCUCAUGCACGAAAGCGUGGGGAGCAAACAGGAUUAGAUACCCUGGUAGUCCACGCCCUAAACGAUGUCAACUAGCUGUCGGGACCUUCGGGUUUUGGUAGCGCAGCUAACGCGUGAAGUUGACCGCCUGGGGAGUACGGUCGCAAGAUUAAAACUCAAAGGAAUUGACGGGGACCCGCACAAGCGGUGGAUGAUGUGGAUUAAUUCGAUGCAACGCGAAAAACCUUACCUACCCUUGACAUGUCUAGAAUCCCGAAGAGAUUUGGGAGUGCUCGAAAGAGAACUGGAACACAGGUGCUGCAUGGCCGUCGUCAGCUCGUGUCGUGAGAUGUUGGGUUAAGUCCCGCAACGAGCGCAACCCUUGUCAUUAGUUGCUACGAAAGGGCACUCUAAUGAGACUGCCGGUGACAAACCGGAGGAAGGUGGGGAUGACGUCAGGUCCUCAUGGCCCUUAUGGGUAGGGCUUCACACGUCAUACAAUGGUCGGGACAGAGGGCUGCCAACCCGCGAGGGGGAGCCAAUCCCAGAAACCCGAUCGUAGUCCGGAUUGUAGUCUGCAACUCGACUGCAUGAAGUCGGAAUCGCUAGUAAUCGCGGAUCAGAAUUCGCGUAUGCUA
This 1218-nucleotide ribosomal RNA is filed under the name uncultured bacterium. RNAcentral describes it as "partial 16S ribosomal RNA". It matches the Rfam family "Bacterial small subunit ribosomal RNA", at positions 171 to 1368 of the family's 1533-position model. The record is from RNAcentral.